GUGGAAGAAAGUUCUUUGAUGUCUGAACUGACCGGUCGAACGCGGCGUCGAGCGCGUGCGGGUCGAAGUCA
Molecule: small RNA, 71 nt
Filed under: Sinorhizobium meliloti 2011
Lineage: Bacteria; Pseudomonadati; Pseudomonadota; Alphaproteobacteria; Hyphomicrobiales; Rhizobiaceae
Description: putative ncRNA
Source: RNAcentral